GAAUAUGGGGGGACCAUCCUCCAAGGCUAAAUACUCCUGACUGACCGAUAGUGAACCAGUACCGUGAGGGAAAGGCGAAAAGAACCCCGGCGAGGGGAGUGAAAAAGAACCUGAAACCGUGUACGUACAAGCAGUGGGAGCCUCUUAAUGGGGUGACUGCGUACCUUUUGUAUAAUGGGUCAGCGACUUAUAUUCUGUAGCAAGGUUAACCGAAUAGGGGAGCCGAAGGGAAACCGAGUCUUAACUGGGCGUUAAGUUGCAGGGUAUAGACCCGAAACCCGGUGAUCUAGCCAUGGGCAGGUUGAAGGUUGGGUAACACUAACUGGAGGACCGAACCGACUAAUGUUGAAAAAUUAGCGGAUGACUUGUGGCUGGGGGUGAAAGGCCAAUCAAACCGGGAGAUAGCUGGUUCUCCCCGAAAGCUAUUUAGGUAGCGCCUCGUGAAUUCAUCUCCGGGGGUAGAGCACUGUUUCGGCAAGGGGGUCAUCCCGACUUACCAACCCGAUGCAAACUGCGAAUACCGGAGAAUGUUAUCACGGGAGACACACGGCGGGUGCUAACGUCCGUCGUGAAGAGGGAAACAACCCAGACCGCCAGCUAAGGUCCCAAAGUCAUGGUUAAGUGGGAAACGAUGUGGGAAGGCCCAGACAGCCAGGAUGUUGGCUUAGAAGCAGCCAUCAUUUAAAGAAAGCGUAAUAGCUCACUGGUCGAGUCGGCCUGCGCGGAAGAUGUAACGGGGCUAAACCAUG
This 749-nucleotide ribosomal RNA is filed under the name Escherichia coli. RNAcentral's name for it is "partial 23S ribosomal RNA". It matches the Rfam family "Bacterial large subunit ribosomal RNA", at positions 440 to 1191 of the family's 2925-position model. Lineage: Bacteria; Pseudomonadati; Pseudomonadota; Gammaproteobacteria; Enterobacterales; Enterobacteriaceae. The record is from RNAcentral.